UAGAGUUUGAUCAUGGCUCAGAACGAACGCUGGCGGCAGGCUUAACACAUGCAAGUCGAACGCGUGUAGCAAUACACGAGUGGCGCACGGGUGAGUAACACGUGGAUAUCUGCCUUUUGGUUCGGAAUAACUCAGGGAAACUUGAGCUAAUACCGGAUAAGCCCUUACGGGGAAAGAUUUAUCGCCAAUAAAUCAGCCCGCGUCCGAUUAGCUAGUUGGUGGGGUAAAGGCCCACCAAGGCGACGAUCGGUAGCUGUUCUGAGAGGAAGAUCAGCCACACUGGGACUGAGACACGGCCCAGACUCCUACGGGAGGCAGCAGCAAGGAAUUUUCCGCAAUGGGGGCAACCCUGACGGAGCAACGCCGCGUGACGGAUGACGCCUCUUGGGGUGUAAACGUCUUUUGCCGGGGGAGAGAACGGACGGUACCCGGCGAAUCAGGACCGGCUAACUACGUGCCAGCAGCCGCGGUAAUCAUCGC
This 480-nucleotide ribosomal RNA is filed under the name uncultured bacterium. Its description in RNAcentral is "bacterial SSU rRNA". It matches the Rfam family "Bacterial small subunit ribosomal RNA", at positions 1 to 528 of the family's 1533-position model. The record is from RNAcentral.